CCUACGGGAGGCAGCAGUGAGGAAUAUUGGACAAUGGGCGCUAGCCUGAACCAGCCAAGCAGCGUGAAGGAUGACUGCACUAUGGGUUGUAAACUCUAUCUAUAUGGGAAUAAAGUGCAGUAUGUAUACUACAUUGCAUGUACCUCAUGAAUAAGGAUCGGCUAACUCUGUGCCAGCAGCCGCGGUAAUACGGAGGAUCCGAGCGUGAUCCGUAUUUAUUGGGUGUAAAGGGAGCGUAGGAGGGUUGUUAAGUCAGUAGUGAAAGGUUGCGGCUCAACCGUAAGAUUGCAGUUGAUACUGGCCUCCUUGAGUACAGUAGAGGUAGGCGGAAUUCGUGGUGUAGCGGUGAAAUGCUUAGAUAUCACGAGGAACUCCGAUUGCGAAGGCAGCCUGCUGGACUGUAACUGACGCUGAUGCUCGAAAGUGUGGGUAUCAAACAGGAUUAGAUACCCUGGUAGUC
This 460-nucleotide ribosomal RNA is filed under the name uncultured bacterium. Its description in RNAcentral is "partial 16S ribosomal RNA". It matches the Rfam family "Bacterial small subunit ribosomal RNA", at positions 338 to 795 of the family's 1533-position model. The record is from RNAcentral.